Molecule: ribosomal RNA, 464 nt
Filed under: uncultured bacterium
Lineage: Bacteria
Description: partial 16S ribosomal RNA
Rfam family: Bacterial small subunit ribosomal RNA
Source: RNAcentral
GACGAACGCUGGCGGCGUGCUUAACACAUGCAAGUCGAACGGAAAGGCCCUGCUUGCAGGGUACUCGAGUGGCGAACGGGUGAGUAACACGUGGGUGAUCUGCCCUGCACUUCGGGAUAAGCCUGGGAAACUGGGUCUAAUACCGGAUAGGAGCCAUUUUUAGUGUGAUGGUUGGAAAGUUUUUUCGGUGUAGGAUGAGCUCGCGGCCUAUCAGCUUGUUGGUGGGGUAAUGGCCUACCAAGGCGGCGACGGGUAGCCGGCCUGAGAGGGUGGACGGCCACAUUGGGACUGAGAGACGGCCCAGACUCCUACGGGAGGCAGCAGUGGGGAAUAUUGCACAAUGGGCGCAAGCCUGAUGCAGCGACGCCGCGUGGGGGAUGACGGCCUUCGGGUUGUAAACUCCUUUCGCUAGGGACGAAGCUUUUGUGACGGUACCUAGAUAAGAAGCACCGGCUAACUACGUG